This 253-nucleotide ribosomal RNA is filed under the name uncultured bacterium. Its description in RNAcentral is "partial 16S ribosomal RNA". It matches the Rfam family "Bacterial small subunit ribosomal RNA", at positions 524 to 776 of the family's 1533-position model. The record is from RNAcentral.
UACGGGGGGGGCAAGCGUUGUUCGGAAUUACUGGGCGUAAAGGGCGCGUAGGCGGGCGGUCAAGUCAGAGGUGAAAUCCCACGGCUCAACCGUGGAAGUGCCCCUGAUACUGGCCGUCUCGAGGGAGGUAGGGGCGUGCGGAACUUCCGGUGGAGCGGUGAAAUGCGUAGAUAUCGGAAGGAACACCGGUGGCGAAAGCGGCGCGCUGGAUCUCUACUGACGCUGAGGCGCGAAAGCCAGGGGAGCAAACGGG